This 505-nucleotide ribosomal RNA is filed under the name uncultured bacterium. Its description in RNAcentral is "partial 16S ribosomal RNA". It matches the Rfam family "Bacterial small subunit ribosomal RNA", at positions 899 to 1397 of the family's 1533-position model. The record is from RNAcentral.
ACUCAAAUGAAUUGACGGGGGCCCGCACAAGCGGUGGAACAUGUGGUUUAAUUCGAUGCAACGCGAAGAACCUUACCUGGGCUUGACAUCCUUGGAACCCUGUGGAAACACGGGGGUGCCUUCGGGAACCAAGAGACAGGUGGUGCAUGGUUGUCGUCAGCUCGUGUCGUGAGAUGUUGGGUUAAGUCCCGCAACGAGCGCAACCCUCGUUGUCUGUUGCUACAGACUGAAAAGUGCUGAGCACUCAGGCGAGACUGCCGGUGAUAAACCGGAGGAAGGUGGGGAUGACGUCAAAUCAUCAUGCCCCUUAUGUCCAGGGCGACACACGUGUUACAAUGGGAUGGGACAGCGGGCAGCAAGCUGGCAACAGCAAGCGAAUCCCUUAAACCCACCCUCAGUUCGGAUCGGAGUCUGCAACUCGACUCCGUGAAGUCGGAAUCGCUAGUAAACGCGGAUCAGCCAUGCCGCGUUGAAUACGUUCCCGGGCCUUGUACACACCGCCCGU